UGGGGAAUAUUGCACAAUGGGCGCAAGCCUGAUGCAGCCAUGCCGCGUGUGUGAAGAAGGCCUUCGGGUUGUAAAGCACUUUCAGCGGGGAGGAAGGCGAUAAGGUUAAUAACCUUGUCGAUUGACGUUACCCGCAGAAGAAGCACCGGCUAACUCCGUGCCAGCAGCCGCGGUAAUACGGAGGGUGCAAGCGUUAAUCGGAAUUACUGGGCGUAAAGCGCACGCAGGCGGUCUGUCAAGUCGGAUGUGAAAUCCCCGGGCUCAACCUGGGAACUGCAUUCGAAAGUGGCAGGCUAGAGUCUUGUAGAGGGGGGUAGAAUUCCAGGUGUGGCGGUGAAAUGCGUAGAGAUCUGGAGGAAUACCGGUGGCGAAGGCGGCCCCCUGGACAAAGACUGACGCUCAGGUGCGAAAGCGUGGGGAGCAAACAGG
RNAcentral lists this ribosomal RNA (429 nucleotides) under Chloroflexota bacterium. RNAcentral describes it as "Chloroflexi bacterium partial 16S ribosomal RNA". It matches the Rfam family "Bacterial small subunit ribosomal RNA", at positions 355 to 776 of the family's 1533-position model. Lineage: Bacteria; Bacillati; Chloroflexota. The record is from RNAcentral.